GUGCCUAUACAUGCAAGUCGAACGGAAACGAUGGAAGCUUGCUUCCAGGCGUCGAGUGGCGGACGGGUGAGUAAUACUUGGGAAUCUGCCCAUUAGUUGGGGAAAACACGGGGAAACUCGUGCUAAUACCGAAUAAUCUCUACGGAGGAAAGGGGACCUCUAUUUAUAAGUUCUCGCUAAUGGAUGAGCCCAAGAAAGAUUAGCUAGUUGGUAAGGUAAUGGCUUACCAAGGCUACGAUCUUUAGCUGUUCUGAGAGGAUGAUCAGCCACACUGGGACUGAGACACGGCCCAGACUCCUACGGGAGGCAGCAGUAGGGAAUAUUGCACAAUGGGGGAAACCCUGAUGCAGCAAUACCGCGUGUGUGAAGAAGGCUUUCGGGUUGUAAAGCACUUUCAAUAGAGAAGAAAAGCUUAGUGUUAAUACCACUAAGUCUUGACGUUAUCUAUACAAGAAGCACCGGCUAAUUCCGUGCCAGCAGCCGCGGUAAUACGGAAGGUGCGAGCGUUAAUCGGAAUUACUGGGCGUAAAGAGUACGUAGGCUGUUAGAUAAGUCGGAUGUGAAAUCCCCGGGCUCAACCUGGGAACUGCAUCCGAAACUAUUUAACUAGAGUAUGGGAGAGGUAAGUAGAAUUUCCGGUGUAGCGGUGAAAUGCGUAGAUAUUUGGAGGAACACCAGUGGCGAAGGCGGCUCACUGGCUCGAUACUGACGCUGAGGUACGAAAGUGUGGGGAGCAAACAGGAUUAGAUACCCUGGUAGUCCACACCGUAAACGAUGAAUGCCAGACGUCAGCAAGCAUGCUUGUUGGUGUCACACCUAACGGAUUAAGCAUUCCGCCUGGGGAGUACGGUCGCAAGAUUAAAACUCAAAGGAAUUGACGGGGGCCCGCACAAGCGGUGGAGCAUGUGGUUUAAUUCGACGCAACGCGCAGAACCUUACCAACCCUUGACAUACUUGUCGCGGAUUCCAGAGAUGGAUUCCUU
Molecule: ribosomal RNA, 983 nt
Filed under: uncultured bacterium
Lineage: Bacteria
Description: bacterial SSU rRNA
Rfam family: Bacterial small subunit ribosomal RNA
Source: RNAcentral